GUAGGAUGUUUGAAGCCAGGAUGGCUAAUUGGCCCCUAGAGGAAGGCAGGAAUGGAGUCGGAGCCCCAAGGCGAAGGCUGGGCUCUGUUCCUUCUGGGACACAGCAGAGGCCUCUGCCAAGGUAAAAAUCUCUGGGUGGAGACAAGUGAAUGGAUCUGAAAGCUACAGGGGCCAGGGACUCAUCAGAACUUGGACUGAGGGAGUGAGGGAAGCAGGGAGGGCAAGGCUAGGGCCCCAGCCCAGGGGGAUGCAAAGCACUGGCUUCAGGUGCAGGUUUCAGGACAGGUUGAGUCAGAAAUCCCAGGGGCCAUCCAGGUGGCAGUGUCACGAGGAGCCGCCUUGAACCCAGCGGAGCACAUGUGUGGAGAUCCACAGUCACAGGCCAUGGACACCAUGGGGGUGGACAAAUGACUCCAGACAGAACCCAGAGGAGCACACAGGCAGCCUGCAAAGGAGCCCCAAGGGGAAGGAGAAGGUGUGCCGGGAAAGGCAGACCCGGUGCAAAGAAGAGCCCUCUGGGAGGAAGAAGAAGUGUUGGCAAUGUCAAACGCUGCGGAGGCAUGAAGCAAGACCAGUGACUGUCCAACCCACCCAGCCCCGCGGAAACAGGAGUGUGGCCACUUAGAUGGGGAAGAAGAAAGAGGAAAGAAAAAAGAAAAAGCUGGAGGAUGGGGCCUGGGAGGGUCCAGUUCCUCUUCAGCUCUGCUCUUCACACUCAGACGCCAAUGGGAAAUUUGUAGGAAACCCAGCCCGUGUCGUGGAUGCUGUGGGGUCUGCCCAGACGUCCUCUUCAGGGUCAGUGCGCCCACCCUCCCAGCUGCUGGGGACGGGAACCACCACCCUCAGCCACUGGGACCUGCCUUCUCUGGGCUCUGCCCCCUCCCAGGGGACGACUGAAGCCCAUGACUGGCUGAUGGGGGGUAGCAAGGGCCCGGCCCCCUUCCCUCCAUGUGGGACAGUGAGGAAGGGCCAUCCCAGGCCUAGAGCUCCUCGUGGGGUCAGUGGGGGCUUUGGCAGUCUUCACACCGGGGUCUGCUUCUCCCUCUGUUCAGUCUUGCCUUGCCCACUCGCUGAUGGGGGUGCCUCCCGGAAGCCCUCCCCAGCCCGGCGUUGGCCUGCAGCUGUCCCGCUGAGCUCUGGAUUCCCAGGAAUUAGAUGGAAAAUAGCCUGGUUCCUGCUUUCAGCUUUCUCUUCUGCAGAAACUCAGAUGCUGAUAAGUAAUAAAAUGUCUCCCCCCUGAGUUCUGUUUCCCUUGCCUUGCCCCAUCUCUGAGAUCCAGGUGGAUGGCUUCUCAAGAACCUAAAGGAGACGUUAGGAGGAGAAGGGAGGAGAGAAGAGGCUGUGUCCCCCUCACCUGGCUGACUCCCACUCAGGCUUUCUGCUUAGACAACCCCUCCCAUGGGACACCAUCCCUGGUCCCUCUGGACGGGGCCAGGUGCCCUCACCCAUGGCUCCCCUAGCUCCCGUGGGCUUCCCCCAGCACAGCACCAGACUCCCUGGAUUACAAUCAGUUACGUACCUGCCCAGCUCCCUUUAGAACAUCAAAGCCAUGAGGGCAGAGGACAGGUCUAUUUGCUCACCAUUUUCUCCCAGGGCCUGGCAAAGUUCCUGGAACCCAGGAGAUGUGUCCUGCAGAGUCUUGCCUAGAACAAAUGGCACAUUGAAGUAAGGCAACUGAGGAAGGUUGGUAAGAGGAUUCCUCCCGAGAUUUAGACAGGGUGUAGGGAAACCCCAGUGCAUGACUGGUGCAGGAGAGAACAUGCCGCCAUUCCCACUGCUAGGAACAAGGGGCAGAGCAGGGGGAGGGGCCGCCUAGGUCAAGGUCAAGAGACACACCAGCCCCACCAGGAAGGAGCCAGGGCUCUAAACCCCUUGACCUCAGUCUCUAACCUCCUGCCCAAAGCCCCCAUUGGCCAAACCCGACUGAGGCUCAGAGGGUCAGAGGGCGGAGGCUCUGCUGUUAACAAGUUGAGCCUCCACGAAUGGGGACACAAAAGCGGC
Long non-coding RNA from Mirounga angustirostris (Northern elephant seal), 2001 nucleotides. RefSeq lists it as uncharacterized. The transcript has 3 exons. The record is from RefSeq and is a predicted model, not a curated record. NCBI's taxonomy places the organism in Eukaryota, Metazoa, Chordata, Mammalia, Carnivora, Phocidae.